UAACACGUAGGAGGCAAACGUUAUCCGGAUUUACUGGGCGUAAAGCGCGUGUAGGUGGUUCUGUAAGUAGGGCGUGAAAGCUCCUGGCUCAACUGGGAGAGGCCGUUCUAAACUGCAGAGCUAGAGGAUGGUAGAGGGAGGUGGAAUUCCGGGUGUAGCGGUGGAAUGCGCAGAUAUCCGGAGGAACACCAGUGGCGAAAGCGGCCUCCUGGACCAUUCCUGACACUCAGACGCGAAAGCUAGGGUAGCAAACGGGAUUAGAGACCCCGGUAGUCCUAGCCCUAAACGAUGUAGACUAGGCGUCGGUGGUUUAAACGCCAUCGGUGUCCAAGCUAACGCGAUAAGUCUACCGCCUGGGGACUACGGCCGCAAGGUUAAAACUCAAAGGAAUUGACGGGUCCCCGCAC
This 407-nucleotide ribosomal RNA is filed under the name uncultured Chloroflexota bacterium. RNAcentral's name for it is "bacterial SSU rRNA". It matches the Rfam family "Bacterial small subunit ribosomal RNA", at positions 521 to 926 of the family's 1533-position model. Lineage: Bacteria; Bacillati; Chloroflexota. The record is from RNAcentral.